This 492-nucleotide ribosomal RNA is filed under the name uncultured bacterium. Its description in RNAcentral is "partial 16S ribosomal RNA". It matches the Rfam family "Bacterial small subunit ribosomal RNA", at positions 30 to 507 of the family's 1533-position model. The record is from RNAcentral.
AUUGAACGCUGGCGGCAUGCUUUACACAUGCAAGUCGAACGGUAACAGGCCUUCGGGUGCUGACGAGUGGCGAACGGGUGAGUAAUGCAUCGGAACGUGCCCAGAGGUGGGGGUUAACGCAGCGAAAGCUGUGCUAAUACCGCAUGUGAUCUGAGUAUGAAAGCGGGGGACCAAGCAGCAAUGUUUGGCCUCGCGCCUCUGGAUCGGCCGAUGUCAGAUUAGGUAGUUGGUGGGGUAAAGGCCUACCAAGCCGACGAUCUGUAGCUGGUCCGAGAGGACGACCGGCCACACUGGGAAUGAGACACGGACCAGACUACUAAGGGAGGGAGCAGUGGGGAAUUUUGGACAAUGGGCGCAAGCCCGAUCCAGCAAUGCCGCGUGCGGGAAGAAGGCCUUCGGGUUGUAAACCGCUUUUGUACGGAACGAAAAGGCUCUGGCUAAUACCUGGGGCUGAUGGCGGUACCGUAAGAAUAAGCACCGGCUAACUACGUG